Molecule: ribosomal RNA, 429 nt
Filed under: uncultured prokaryote
Also listed under: 1 other name
Description: bacterial SSU rRNA
Rfam family: Bacterial small subunit ribosomal RNA
Source: RNAcentral
UGGGGAAUAUUCCGCAAUGGACGAAAGUCUGACGGAGCAACGCCGCGUGAGUGAUGAAGGUUUUCGGACUGUAAAACUCUGUUGUCCGGGACGAAAGUGCGGGGUGCAAAUAGUGCCUUGUAUUGACGGUACCGGACGAGGAAGCCACGGCUAACUACGUGCCAGCAGCCGCGGUAAUACGUAGGUGGCAAGCGUUGUCCGGAAUUAUUGGGCGUAAAGAGCAUGUAGGUGGGCUGUUAAGUCUGUUGUGAAAAUGCGGGGCUCAACCCCGUAUUGCGAUGGAAACUGACAGUCUUGAGUGCAGGAGAGGAAAGGGGAAUUCCCAGUGUAGCGGUGAAAUGCGUAGAUAUUGGGAGGAACACCAGUGGCGAAGGCGCCUUUCUGGACUGUGUCUGACACUGAGAUGCGAAAGCUAGGGGAGCGAACGGG